GACGAACGCUGGCGGCGUGCUUAACACAUGCAAGUCGAACGGAAAGGCCCUGCUUUUGUGGGUUGCUCGAGUGGCGAACGGGUGAGUAACACGUGAGUAACCUGCCCUGUACUUUGGGAUAACUUCAGGGAACUGGGGCUAAUACCUGAUAGGAGCUCCUGCUGCAUGGUGGGGGUUGGAAAGUUUCGGCGGUUGGGGAUGGACUCGCGGCUUAUCAGCUUGUUGGUUGGGUAGUGGCUUACCAAGGCUUUGACGGGUAGCCGGCAUGAGAGGGUGACCGGCCACAUUGGGACUGCGAUACGGCCCAGACUCCUACGGGAGGCAGCAGUGGGGAAUAUUGCACAAUGGGCGGAAGCCUGAUGCAGCAACGCCGCGUGCGGGAUGACGGCCUUCGGGUUGUAAACCGCUUUCGCCUGUGACGAAGCGUGAGUGACGGUAAUGGGUAAAGAAGCACCGGCUAACUACGUG
RNAcentral lists this ribosomal RNA (468 nucleotides) under uncultured bacterium. RNAcentral's name for it is "partial 16S ribosomal RNA". It matches the Rfam family "Bacterial small subunit ribosomal RNA", at positions 28 to 507 of the family's 1533-position model. The record is from RNAcentral.